RNAcentral lists this ribosomal RNA (301 nucleotides) under uncultured bacterium. RNAcentral describes it as "partial 16S ribosomal RNA". It matches the Rfam family "Bacterial small subunit ribosomal RNA", at positions 509 to 807 of the family's 1533-position model. The record is from RNAcentral.
CAGCAGCCGCGGUAAUGCGUAGGGUGCAAGUGUUAAUCGGAAUUACUGGGCGUAAAGCGUGCGCAGGCGGUUCGUUAAGACAGAUGUGAAAUCCCCGGGCUUAACCUGGGAACUGCAUUUGUGACUGGCGGGCUAGAGUAUGGCAGAGGGAGGUAGAAUUCCACGUGUAGCAGUGAAAUGCGUAGAGAUGUGGAGGAACACCGAUGGCGAAGGCAGCCCCCUGGGCCAGUACUGACGCUCAUGCACGAAAGCGUGGGGAGCAAACAGGAUUAGAUACCCGGGUAGUCCCUGUCUCUUAUAC